This is a long non-coding RNA of Anthonomus grandis grandis, 1357 nucleotides long. RefSeq lists it as uncharacterized. NCBI's taxonomy places the organism in Eukaryota, Metazoa, Arthropoda, Insecta, Coleoptera, Curculionidae. The record is from RefSeq and is a predicted model, not a curated record. The transcript is spliced from 4 exons.
UUGUGUUGUGUUUUAUUAUUCAAAAAACAAACUAACAGGACAUUAUAGAAUAGAUUAUAGUGCUGUAACCUGUGGUAAAUUUCCAGAUUAAGGUUGCAAUUUACAAAACUAUUAUUAUUUGUUUAAUAAAGCCCUAGUUUUCAGGUAAGAUUGUAUAUACUCUCUUUUAUUUUAAUAUUAAUUAUUAAGGUUUUAAAAUUUUAGUUUCUCUAUAAAUAAUCAUGUUUUCUACUGCUCUACAGUCACACCCAAAAAAAUGUUAUGUAGCUGGGUGUCUGAAUCAGGAUGGUAAGAGGCAUAGAUUUCCAAAAAAUGAUCCAGAAAUAUACAAUGUAUGGAUUUCCAUUAUUAAUCCACCUAAUUAUCAUUGUUUAUCCUUGGAACAAAUCUAUAAUCGUUUUUAUGUUUGCGAUUGUCACUUUAAAGAGUACUGCAAAGUGCCAACCAGUAAGAGAGGACUCAAAAGAGCAGCAAUACCUAUUCUUAACAUUGAAGGGUAUGGUGCUUAUAAUGCUGAGCUAUUAUUAAGCAAUAAAUGGCAUAUAUUAUGCAAAAGGUUCCGUCGAUGGGUCCAUAUGUUCUAAAGUUACUAAUCUUUUAGAACCUAUUAGCCAAACUAAUGUGGUAGAAAAUAUCUUAGAGGUACCUAUGGAAAUAGCUGAUAAAAAAAUCCUCAUAUGCUUUUAAUCAAAAAGAUAUUCCUGGAAAUACCUCAUCUUAUAUGGAAAUAAUUCCUAUAAUAGAAAAUUCCAACAAUCAAAUAGAUAUUGAAAAAGUACCAUUACAAAUUGUACCUAAUGCCUCAAGGAAAAAGGAAUCUUCUAAGAAACGUCUUGAAAAAAGAAGGUUUUCAUUGAAAAGUUUAAAUGUUCAUCGUUCCAUUGAGUUGACACCAAAGGCCAAAAAAUGAUAUACCAAAUUAACAUCUUGGAGGAGUGAAAUAUAUGGAAUGGAAAAAAAAUUAAAUCUUACAAAGGGAGAAUAGGUAUUGCCGAAAAAUAUGUCAAUUCCACAGAUUUUAAAAAUCUCUGAAAACAUAUUAAUAGUCCUACUUACAAGUUCAUUAUAAAAUGAUGUAUAUUAUUAUAUCUAUCUUCACCAAUAAUAAAUUAUUAUUCGUGAAAUCACAGAAACGUACAUGUAUCAGAGACACCUAUUUUUUUCUGCGUGUAUGUUAUUUGUUAGUAUGUUAUGUAUUUGGCGUAGACAUAAUGCAAAAUAGACAAUACUUACAAAAGGUCGCCAGGAAAUGAUAAGUCGAAAAUUCACCUCCAUAUUUUUAAAUUUAAAAUAUAAUACCGUGUAAAUGCAUAUUAUUAUGUAGUACUUAUUGAUUUUAGGAUUUUUACUUGUUUUA